This 510-nucleotide long non-coding RNA is filed under the name Mytilus galloprovincialis (Mediterranean mussel). The record is from RNAcentral. Lineage: Eukaryota; Metazoa; Mollusca; Bivalvia; Mytilida; Mytilidae.
GUCGGAAUACGAAAAUUUUUGAUACUUUAAUCACACAUUUUCAAAAUGGCGCAUCGUGGUUUACUUGUACUGUACACACGCGAAUAACAUUAAAUAAAAUCUAUCUUGGGAAGAUUUCACUAGGUUUCAACUUGACUAUUAUGGUUUUACCAUUGAAGGGUUCAUCUUUUAUUGAUAUUCAGGAUUCAGGUACACUGUUUAGAUGCAAUGACACAAAUUUGACCAAAUCCGAAACAAAGCGGACAUUCGAUCAAAGGCUGAAUUUUAUGCAAAUUACUAAGUCAACACUGUUAGAUUGUUUAUUUUAUUAAAAAAAAUAACAAAGAGUAGUCAAGAAUACAGUUAGAUUGUUUAUUUUAUUUCUAAAUAAUACAAAGAGUUGUCAAGAAUACAUUAUAACAUUGACAACACAUGAUGUUUCUGUUUACUUGGCCAAACCUCGUUCAACAUCGUAUCCCUACAUGGAAAAAAAUGUCACGAAAUCCUAUAGUACUGCAUAGUCCGCACCCC